This 770-nucleotide unclassified non-coding RNA is filed under the name Hevea brasiliensis (rubber tree). Lineage: Eukaryota; Viridiplantae; Streptophyta; Magnoliopsida; Malpighiales; Euphorbiaceae. The record is from RNAcentral.
AGUUUUUUUUUUCUUUCUUUUGAAAAACAGUCUAAGACUAGAGAUUUUAGUCUGGCUCUUAAAUAUAAAGAAAAUUAUAAGGUAAAACUAUUCUCCGUAAAUACCUCCACUCAUCAGUCAGAAGCCAGCAGCAAAGAGUGCUUUCAGGUGCAUCAGCAUAUAUAUUAAUACUUCAUGUCAAAGACUACGAAAAGAAAAUAGUGUGCGUGUGUGGUGUUGACUAGUGGCAAUUUGACAGAUAUGAACAGUUAAAGCAGUAGGCCUUUUUUUAGGGGGGAAAAAUAUAAAAGCAGGGCUCCAGAAGUUAUUAUGACAAUAUAUUAGGACUUUCGUAUUAGGCCUUAAACUUGGUGCAUUGUCAAGUGCAGAGUCUUAAGAGUGGCCAGUUUAGAAAACCAUUGCCAUUACUAGUUGAGCAUGCAAUGCUGAAAAAUGUUUUUCAACCCUUUCUUUUGGAAGGAUAGCUCUAGUUUGAAUCUGUCCCAGCACUAGGUGCAAGCAUAACUUUCAAACAACUCCUGGUGCACCCAUUCCAUUUUGAUUAUAAUUUUAUAUUUUAAGUAAGAAGCUUAGUCAUUAUAUAUCCCCCUUCGUUUUGGAAGCAUAGCCCUAGUUUGAAUCUAUCCUAGCACUAGGUGCAAGCAUAACUUUCAAACAACUCCUGGUGCACCCAUUCCAUUUUGAUUAUAAUUUUAUAUUUUAAGUAAGAAGCUUAGUCAUUAUAUAUCCCCCUUCGUUUUGGAAGCAUAGCCCUAGUUUGAAUCUAUCCU